AGAAGAAGCACCGGCUAACUCCGUGCCAGCAGCCGCGGUAAUACGGAGGGUGCGAGCGUUAAUCGGAAUUACUGGGCGUAAAGCGCAUGCAGGUGGUUUGUUAAGUCAGAUGUGAAAGCCCGGGGCUCAACCUCGGAAUAGCAUUUUGAAAACUGGCAGACUAGAGUACUGUAGAGGGGGUAGAAUUUCAGGUGUAGCGGUGAAAAUGCGUAGAGAUCUGAAGGAAUACCGGUGGCGAAGGCGGCCCCCUGGACAGAUACUGACACUCAGAUGCGAAAGCGUGGGGAGCAAACAGGAUUAGAUACCCUGGUAG
RNAcentral lists this ribosomal RNA (313 nucleotides) under uncultured bacterium. RNAcentral describes it as "bacterial SSU rRNA". It matches the Rfam family "Bacterial small subunit ribosomal RNA", at positions 483 to 793 of the family's 1533-position model. The record is from RNAcentral.